CCCCGUACAACCCAAACUGUUAACCUUCAAUACUGCUUUGUACUUACGAUCUCGUAUCUACUGACUGUCUUGUUAGAUUAACCCAGUAAAUUUCAUUCACUCCGCAUACUCAAUCCUAUAGACACCCUUUUAAUCUUUCAAUCACAGACGUAACUCGAUUUCACAAAACAGUCAAGAGUAUUCAAACCCACUUCAUUUAAA
This 201-nucleotide long non-coding RNA is filed under the name Physcomitrium patens. RNAcentral describes it as "long non-coding RNA (PPAT_LNC003418)". The record is from RNAcentral. Lineage: Eukaryota; Viridiplantae; Streptophyta; Bryopsida; Funariales; Funariaceae.